This 490-nucleotide ribosomal RNA is filed under the name uncultured bacterium. RNAcentral describes it as "partial 16S ribosomal RNA". It matches the Rfam family "Bacterial small subunit ribosomal RNA", at positions 28 to 507 of the family's 1533-position model. The record is from RNAcentral.
GAUGAACGCUAGCUACAGGCUUAACACAUGCAAGUCGCAGGGUAACAUGAGGAAAGCUUGCUUUCCUUGAUGACGACUGGCGCACGGGUGAGUAACGCGUAUCAAACCUUCCCAUAACUACGGGAUAACCCGUUGAAAGACGGCCUAAUACCGUAUGACAUCGUUUGCUGACAUCAAAUAACGAUUAAAGGUUUAGCGGUUAUGGAUGGGGAUGCGUCUGAUUAGCUUGUUGGCGGGGUAACGGCCCACCAAGGCGACGAUCAGUAGGGGUUCUGAGAGGAAGGUCCCCCACAUUGGAACUGAGACACGGUCCAAACUACUACGGGAGGCAGCAGUGAGGAAUAUUGGUCAAUGGGCGAGAGCCUGAACCAGCCAAGUAGCGUGCAGGAUGACGGCCCUAUGGGUUGUAAACUGCUUUUAUGUGGGGAUAAAGUGCGUGACGUGUCAUGCAUUGCAGGUACCACAUGAAUAAGGACCGGCUAAUUCCGUG